Molecule: long non-coding RNA, 541 nt
Organism: Triticum dicoccoides
Lineage: Eukaryota; Viridiplantae; Streptophyta; Magnoliopsida; Poales; Poaceae
Exons: 3
Source: RefSeq, a predicted model, not a curated record
GGGUGAUGACUGCCUGGCCGUCCGGUGGGUGGGCUUUGAUGCCGGUCUUCCUCCCUCCUCAGCUCCGACGCCACCAUGGAUCUCUUCAAGGCCACCGAAACAGAUCCAACUACUGUUGCUCUUUCCCAUCCUCCUCAUCUCAUCUGUCUUCUUGGCCUGGAACAACGAAAGCGGCAGAGAACAGCUGAUGGUGGCGCUGCUAGAGUCCCUAGAGGCGACCUCUGAUCUGCUUUUAGUUGCCUGGUUGGUUCAAUGGCGAGACUGGGAGGGUUGAUAGACGUCAUUUUGGCUUCCUGAGAUCUGUAAAUGAAAAAUUGAAACACAUAUGCAAUAACAGUAGCCUUCUUCAGGGUAUAGAUCUGCAGUAUUUAUACCAUGCGUGGCGAUGAUGCCGAUGCUGUGGCCCGACCCGACCGGGCCUUUGGCUUUCACACAAAGAAUCGGAUCCGAGGGUGUGCAUGGGAUGGACUCCACGAUGGUUCUCACGGUCUCACGAGCCAGAACUUGCGGGCAUCACCUCUUUGCAUUUCUAUUUGUUUUU